Molecule: ribosomal RNA, 430 nt
Filed under: Chloroflexota bacterium
Lineage: Bacteria; Bacillati; Chloroflexota
Description: Chloroflexi bacterium partial 16S ribosomal RNA
Rfam family: Bacterial small subunit ribosomal RNA
Source: RNAcentral
UGGGGAAUAUUGCACAAUGGGCGCAAGCCUGAUGCAGCCAUGCCGCGUGUAUGAAGAAGGCCUUCGGGUUGUAAAGUACUUUCAGUCGGGAGGAAGGUGUCAAGGUUAAUAACCUUGGCAAUUGACGUUACCGACAGAAGAAGCACCGGCUAACUCCGUGCCAGCAGCCGCGGUAAUACGGAGGGUGCAAGCGUUAAUCGGAAUUACUGGGCGUAAAGCGCACGCAGGCGGUUUGUUAAGUCAGAUGUGAAAUCCCCGGGCUCAACCUGGGAACUGCAUCUGAUACUGGCAAGCUUGAGUCUCGUAGAGGGGGGUAGAAUUCCAGGUGUAGCGGUGAAAUGCGUAGAGAUCUGGAGGAAUACCGGUGGCGAAGGCGGCCCCCUGGACGAAGACUGACGCUCAGGUGCGAAAGCGUGGGGAGCAAACAGGA